Molecule: ribosomal RNA, 463 nt
Filed under: uncultured bacterium
Lineage: Bacteria
Description: partial 16S ribosomal RNA
Rfam family: Bacterial small subunit ribosomal RNA
Source: RNAcentral
GAUGAACGCUGACAGAAUGCUUAACACAUGCAAGUCUUUGGCGAAGCUGUGCUUGCACAGCCUAGCCAAGGCGGACGGGUGAGUAACGCGUAAGGAACUUGCCCUGCAGUCAGGGAUAACAGACGGAAACGACUGAUAAGACCUGGUAAAGUCAGGCGGACUCAUGUCCAGCCUGAUGAAAAGAGAUGCUGCAGGAGAGCCUUGCGUCCUAUUAGCUUGUUGGUGGGGUAACGGCCCACCAAGGCGAUGAUAGGUAGCCGGCCUGAGAGGGUGGACGGCCACAAGGGGACUGAGAUACGGCCCUUACUCCUACGGGAGGCAGCAGUGGGGAAUAGUGGACAAUGGGGGCAAUCCUGAUCCAGCAAUUCUGUGUGCACGAUGAAGGUUUUCGGAUUGUAAAGUGCUUUCAGCAGGGAAGAAAAAAAUGACGGUACCUGCAGAAGAAGCGACGGCUAAAUACGUG